CUGCCCGGGCUCCGAUAGGAGCGGUCUGGCGGGGAGCGUUGCCGUGACGACGGGAGCUCGUGCCGUGGCGGCGGGCGGCGGCGCGCCCGUGUGUGUGCAGGGGGUGGCGGAGGCGUUGCCACGGAGGCGUUGCCCUGGCACCGCGGGGCCGAGCGGUGCCCUGAGAUGGCGCCUGGCCUCCCCGUAGUGCCGGUGCUGCCAUAUGCCUGGCUUGCCUGCCCCGCUCCCCUUUAAAAGCCAGUGGGCUGCUUUGUUCGGCCACAGAGGCCCAGUUUCGUACGGCCGCCGUUGCUCCGCGGUCCUCAGAACGUCUCCUUGAAGUUGCUGAAGGCAAUGGCAACGGGGAGCGGCAGGUGCUUGUCCCGCAGGUCCUCGUCCGAGGAGAAUGCUGAUGAGGGGGCGAGCUGCUGCGUACCUGCGAGUGCACUGCUGUGCUGCUGCCUCGGGAAGCUCAGUACAAGUGACUGCCCAUCAGUUAUAUCCCUGAGUGAUACACAAGGUUCAUCUGAUUUGUGCUCAAUUCACACUGCAGAGCAGGCGGCCCAGGCUGCAAGUGUUACCAAGCCGCUUCCCUUCCGAGUGCCUUGUUGCUUGUCUGCACACUCACACGACAGUUUUGACAGGAUUAAAAAACCUGAAAAACCCAGGACAGCAGCUUGUGCAAGUGAUCCCAGGCUCGUGUGGGGCAACCAAGAGACCAUCUGGCCCCUCUCACGAGGUGCUGUGACAGCUCGACUACUCCCAAGAACAGCGGCACUGGCCAAGCCCAAGAAAGAUUUUAGCAAGUACCAGCGCAGCUAUGGAAGAGAACUAACAAUCUGGGAGCGACCCCUGAUAGUGAGUUUUGCCUUUCCUUCUGAUCGGCUGCUGAAGUUAUCUGAACCUAAAAAAUACCACCCUGCUUACCUGCUGCAAAGACCUCGCCAAUCCCCUGAGUGGCCUGUGUCACGAGCUGCACUGAGGUAUAAGGCCUCCCCACGGAUCCUGGAGCUUGCCCUGCCUAAAGUCCUGCACCCAGAGUUCCUGCCAGCCAGAGAGGUGCCAGCACGGGUUACGAAUGCUGAGGCCUUGGCUAAAGCAUCCUUACGUUUACAGCUUCUUGCAGAGCCCCCUGUCAGGGAGGCCACCUCCUGCUAUGGCAACAGCGUUCCUGAAUCUGUCAUUUCUCCGGUUUCCAAGUUGGCUCUGGAGGCAGUUGCAAGCCCUCGGAUCCUGGAGCUGGCUAGGGCAAAGGGAUUGCAUCCUGACUACAUGCCCCUGCGGGAUGCUGAGCGGCCAGUAACAAAGGCUGCAAAGCGUGCAGUGGCCACACCAAGGCUGGUGGAACUGGCUCAGCCUCGCAAAAGUGUUUUGGUUUAUCUUCUCUCCAGUGACCAGGCAAAUUGGUGCAGGGGAAUUACAGACCAGAGGAUGCAGAAUCUUUUGGCAGCAUGGACUUGGACCCAGCAAUCACCCCAUUGUCCUUCCUGAUGGGUUUUCUGGUCCUCCUCUCAGCACCAUGGCCAGACAUCACACAAAGCUGGUGAUGAGCAGGAUUCAGAAACAGAAGUAACUGCCGUGCGACCAGCUGGAAAAUUGUAAAGCUAAGCGAAGACCAAGUACGGCCCCUUGCAAGUCAGUGAGUGCUACAGGUCCACCGGAGAGACACCUCCCUACGGAGUGAAAUGUUCACAGGUUGGUGUGCUGUGGAUUCUCCUGCAGCAAGCAUACUUGGAUGCAGUG
This is an RNA transcript of Pogoniulus pusillus (Red-fronted tinkerbird), 1722 nucleotides long. It is a transcript of the gene named sperm microtubule associated protein 2 like, with no coding region annotated. The transcript has 9 exons. The record is from RefSeq and is a predicted model, not a curated record. NCBI's taxonomy places the organism in Eukaryota, Metazoa, Chordata, Aves, Piciformes, Lybiidae.